GCUGUAAGUAAGCGAUGAUCCAGGGAUUUCCGAAUGGGGGAACCCAACAGGUAAUACCUGUUACCUACAUCUGUUAAGGAUGUGAGGAGGAAGACGCAGUGAACUGAAACAUCUAAGUAGCUGCAGGAAGAGAAAGCAAAAGCGAUUGCCUUAGUAGCGGCGAGCGAAACGGCAGAAGGGCAAACCGAAGAGUUUACUCUUCGGGGUUGUAGGACUGCAAUGUGGACUCAAAGAUUAUAGAAGAAUGAUUUGGGAAGAUCAGCCAAAGAGAGUAAUAGCCUCGUAUUUAAAAUAGUCUUUGUACCUAGCAGUAUCCUGAGUACGGCGGGACACGUGAAAU
RNAcentral lists this ribosomal RNA (340 nucleotides) under Klebsiella pneumoniae. RNAcentral describes it as "partial 23S ribosomal RNA". It matches the Rfam family "Bacterial large subunit ribosomal RNA", at positions 85 to 432 of the family's 2925-position model. The record is from RNAcentral. Lineage: Bacteria; Pseudomonadati; Pseudomonadota; Gammaproteobacteria; Enterobacterales; Enterobacteriaceae.